This 147-nucleotide non-coding RNA is filed under the name Nomascus leucogenys (northern white-cheeked gibbon). Lineage: Eukaryota; Metazoa; Chordata; Mammalia; Primates; Hylobatidae. The record is from Rfam by way of RNAcentral.
GCCGGGCAUGGUGGCCCAUGCCUAUAGUCCCAGCUGCUCAGGAGACUGAGGUGAGAGGAUUGCUUGAGCUUGGGAGGAUGAGAAUGCAGUGAGUCAGACUGUGCCACUGCAUUCCAGCCUGGGCAACAGAGCAAGACCCCAUCUCUA